This 305-nucleotide ribosomal RNA is filed under the name uncultured Glaciecola sp. Its description in RNAcentral is "bacterial SSU rRNA". It matches the Rfam family "Bacterial small subunit ribosomal RNA", at positions 30 to 334 of the family's 1533-position model. Lineage: Bacteria; Pseudomonadati; Pseudomonadota; Gammaproteobacteria; Alteromonadales; Alteromonadaceae. The record is from RNAcentral.
AUUGAACGCUGGCGGCAGGCCUAACACAUGCAAGUCGAACGGUAACAUUUCUUGCUUGCAGGAAGAUGACGAGUGGCGGACGGGUGAGUAAUACUUAGGAACAUGCCUUUGGGUGGGGGAUAACUAUUGGAAACGAUAGCUAAUACCGCAUGAUGUCUUUGGACCAAAGUGGGGACUUGUUCCUCACGCCCAGAGAGUGGCCUAAGCGAGAUUAGCUUGUUGGUGAGGUAAAGGCUCACCAAGGCGACGAUCUCUAGCUGUUCUGAGAGGAAGAUCAGCCACACUGGAACUGAGACACGGUCCAG